Neltuma alba is the source of this 673-nucleotide long non-coding RNA. RefSeq lists it as uncharacterized. Lineage: Eukaryota; Viridiplantae; Streptophyta; Magnoliopsida; Fabales; Fabaceae. The transcript has 4 exons. The record is from RefSeq and is a predicted model, not a curated record.
AAUUCUCUCCGGGUUGGUUUACCUGCAUAGCAAAAGAAUAAUUCACAGGGACAUAAAGCCAGACAAUCUGCUUGUCGAUUCUAACAACAUCUUAAAGCUCGUUGACUUUGGUUUGGCUAAGCAUGUUCUUAAAAAAAUAGAAUACAAGAGCUCGCUUGAAGCUUAUGCUGCUGAUAUAUGGAGUUUGGGCUGCGUAAUGAUUGAAAUGUUCUCAGGGAAGCAUCCUUGGUCUGGUUUUGAACCGCAACAGGUGUUCUUUAGAGUUUGUCUUAAAGAGGAAAAUCCGGACAUACCAGAAGGAUUAUGCCAAGAUGGUAAGGAUUUUCUGGAACUCUGCUUCGCAAGAAAUCCGGCCCAGCGGCCAUCUGCUGCAGCAUUACUAGAACAUCCCUUUGUAAAAGCGCAAACAACCUAGCCAGCCGAUGGAAGAAAGUUUCAAUGAUUGAUGAUGUCCGCUUAAGUCUCGUUUGAUACGAAGUAUUGAAAAUAUGGGAUUGAAAUUGAGAUUGAGAAAAUAUAUUAGAAGAAUGCUUAGCAUGGAAGAUUGCUUGUUACUUGUAAUUAGACAAAUCUAUAUAGGUGAGAUUGAGUAGAUUUUCUCAAUCCCAAUCAUAAUUCUUAUAUUGCAUUGUCAAUGCUUCAUACCAAAUGAGAUCUAAGGGUUAUCUCUUCA